RNAcentral lists this transfer RNA (72 nucleotides) under Bos taurus (domestic cattle). It matches the Rfam family "tRNA". From Rfam's summary of the family: Transfer RNA (tRNA) molecules are approximately 80 nucleotides in length. Their secondary structure includes four short double-helical elements and three loops (D, anti-codon, and T loops). Lineage: Eukaryota; Metazoa; Chordata; Mammalia; Artiodactyla; Bovidae. The record is from Rfam by way of RNAcentral. RNAcentral also lists the same sequence under 2 other names.
UCCCUGGUGGCUCAGAUGGUAAAGAAUCUGCCUGCAAUGCAGGAGACCCAGGUUUGAUUCCUGAGUUGGGAA